RNAcentral lists this unclassified non-coding RNA (1053 nucleotides) under Hevea brasiliensis (rubber tree). The record is from RNAcentral. Lineage: Eukaryota; Viridiplantae; Streptophyta; Magnoliopsida; Malpighiales; Euphorbiaceae.
UGCGCACAAUAACCAAGCUUCAUAUCCAAGCCCCAUGCAUGGAUCAGGUCGUUCUGGACCAUAUACCAAGCACAACGCCAAGCGGCUUUUGAGAAUACCGGAGCCAUCAUUUCUACCCACCCCACACAAGGAGGUUCUGUGCUGUUGUUAUCACACGUUCGGCCACCUCUAUUUAAUCUGUAGAACCUCCUGUGCACCUUGGAUCUCCCUCUGCGCACAGUAAUAUGAUGAUGUACUUCCGAUUUACUAGCAUCAAGUCCUGGCUGUGAUAUCUCCAAGCCUUCUUCUCUUACAAUAGAUAUAUACUUCUCCGGAUGAAAGUUUUCGACUCCAAGGUCCUCAUCCCACAAAAAAAUAUAGUCGUAUUCAGAAACUAUAUCCGGGUGCAGAAACCUCUUCGCGAACCACCAUUUUGUUUGGUUCAUAGCAGAGACAUGUAUGGCACGAUUACUCCACUCAAGAUCAUUCCACUCAUCCACCACACCAUCAUAGUGGAAAAGCAUCACAACAAAGUCAUGUUCAAGAAACCUUUUAACAAUUUUAUUCACCAGCUCUUUUUGCUUUAUUCCAACUGCAAUUCCCAAUAAGUUAACUGAAUGUGGUGACUUCUUCUCAACAUCACCCCACAAUGGUCGCAUUUCCAGGUUUGAUGUUUUAGAAACAAUUCCUUCUGGGAGUGCCUCACUCCCUAAUGGCCUGCACUUUUUCUGGCAUUUAUUAUUUUGCACAUUCUCUGUCACAUGACUCUCUUGUUUUUCCUCUCUUGGUGGUACCUCGCAUUUUCCGCAUUGUCCAUUCUGCUUUGUACUGUUUAUUGUAAAACCUGAAAAAGCCCUGAAAUCCUUAGCCAUCAAAGCACUUCCGGUAAAGUAGACAGCACAAAUUAAAGCAAGAGUCAAGAAGAGGCUGCAGAUAAAUGAUCUACUUUUAGGAUCAGGCACAGAAACCUGAAAAAUAGCACGAGCACAAGAAACAUCGUUAAAUAGAAGAACAAAUUCCAUAGUCUCAACUGUUUAGCAAUGAAAAUACAAAAAUUAGUAUUUUCCCCAUCCG